AGUGAACGCUGGCGGUAGGCCUAACACAUGCAAGUCGAACGGCAGCACAGUAAGAGCUUGCUCUUACGGGUGGCGAGUGGCGGACGGGUGAGGAAUACAUCGGAAUCUACUUUUUCGUGGGGUAUAACGUAGGGAAACUUACGCUAAUACCGCAUACUACCUACGGGUGAAAGCAGGGGAUCUUCGGACCUUGCGCUAUUGAAUGAGCCGAUGUCGGAUCAGCUAGUUGGCGGGGUAAAGGCCCACCAAGGCGACGAUCCGUAGCUGGUUUGAGAGGAUGAUCAGCCACACUGGAACUGAGACACGGUCCAGACUCCUACGGGAGGCAGCAGUGGGGAAUAUUGGACAAUGGGCGCAAGCCUGAUCCAGCCAUACCGCGUGGGUGAAGAAGGCCUUCGGGUUGUAAAGCCCUUUUGUUGGGAAAGAAAAGCAGCAGGUUAAUACCCCGCUGUUCUGACGGUACCCAAAGAAUAAGCACCGGCUAACUUCGUG
This 492-nucleotide ribosomal RNA is filed under the name uncultured bacterium. RNAcentral's name for it is "partial 16S ribosomal RNA". It matches the Rfam family "Bacterial small subunit ribosomal RNA", at positions 29 to 507 of the family's 1533-position model. The record is from RNAcentral.